Hipposideros armiger (great roundleaf bat) is the source of this 1499-nucleotide long non-coding RNA. RefSeq lists it as uncharacterized. The record is from RefSeq and is a predicted model, not a curated record. The transcript has 3 exons. Lineage: Eukaryota; Metazoa; Chordata; Mammalia; Chiroptera; Hipposideridae.
GUACCCUUUCCGCCCAGGCUUUUGCGGACUAAUAGGGCUGACUCCGAAGAGUUGUUUCUUAACCCUGCCGUGCUUAUCGUAGGGGUAAAGGGGCUAUUUGGACACACAUAUUUGUGUGUGUCCAAUUCGUGCGCUGCAGCAAUAUGGCCCUUUAAUCGCAUCUGGCGGUUUCUCGGCAAGGUUCAAAUGCUGUAGCGCUGAAAAAUCCGGGAUAAAAAAGAGCGACACCCUCCCUCCCCCAUUAAUUAUUUGUGGGGCUGGAGUAUCGCAGGCUGGUGCAACCGGUGCAUAUAAGGACUUGAGUGCAAGGAAAGGGACCCGCCUCCAGCCGCGGAACGAAUGGGGGAGAACGCGCGCUCGCACGGUGCGUCCAGCCCCGCGCCUCGGCAAUUUGCCCCGGCGGCUGGGUGGGGUCUGCCAGCUGCUCCCCUUGCUCCGGGAUGGCGGGUCCCUCUCUGCUUCGGGGCUGGGAAGGUUUGCCAGAAGCGGGAGAGCUGGGAGUCUGAGCUCCUCUUCGCUUCGCCACACCCAGGACCUGCCGGUGCCGCAAUUCCCCCAAGGAAACAACCGAAUUGAAACAAGAGGCUUGUUUUCCAGGCAACUUUACCGCGGCUGACCUCCCCAGAUUGAUGGAGAAAGUUUGGCUGUCGGAUAAGAUGUAACACACGAGGUGUACAACCAGAGAGCGGUUCCACUCCACCUGCUUUCUCAUUUAAAGGCUGAAUGUUUACAGUGUUAACAGAUUUUUGAGGCUGUUACUCAGCUUUUUCUGCCCACUAGUAGACAAAAGGUGAGUAGGUAUCUGAAAUCCGAACAGGAGAAGUGUCCCUCACAGAAACCUGGAACUUCAGAAGAAUGGCAACAACCCUGAGAAUGGUUAGCAGUUAUGGUGCUACCCUACCCAUAAGGUCCAUACCCUACCCUAAAGCCCAUUCCUCCUUCCUGUUACUCAGACGUUGCUUUGUGUCCUGUUCAUUUCCAAGCUUGGCUCUCUGUGCUAAUUAUCCAUUGUUGUGUAACAAACCACCUGAAAACUCAGUGAGUAAAAAACAUUUUUUCAUUCACAAGUCUGUAAUUUGGGCAGGGUUUGCUAGGGGAGGCUCAUUUGCACUAUGUAGCAUAAGCUGAGGCUGGAGGGCCCACAUCCAAAGUGACUCGCUCAUGCACGGAGCAAGUUUGGUGCUGGGCUAUUCGCUGAGUACUCAGCCAAGGCUGAUGGCUGGGAGCUUUGGUUCCUCUCCAGGCUGGUCUCUUCAUAGGCCAUUGGGGUUCAUCACGGCAUUGUGGCUGAGUUCCAAGAACAAGUAUCCCAUGAGAACCAGACAGAAGCUGUAUCACCUUUUCUGACCGAGCCUCAAAAGUCAUGUGACUUCAGUUCCACCACUGUCACAAAUAUACACAGAUUCAAGGGGAAGAUACAGACAUCCCACCUUUCGAUGGGAGGAAUAUCUAAGUCACAUUGAAGAAGAGCAUGUGGGAUGGAAGAUACUGUUGCAGUA